Molecule: ribosomal RNA, 835 nt
Filed under: uncultured archaeon
Lineage: Archaea
Description: bacterial SSU rRNA
Rfam family: Archaeal small subunit ribosomal RNA
Source: RNAcentral
CUGCUCAGUAACACGUGGAUAACUUAACCUUAGGUCCGGCAUAACCCCGGGAAACUGGGGAUAAUUCCGGAUGUAUCAAGGNUGCUGGAAUGCCCUUUGGUUCAAAGCUUUUGUGCCUAAGGAUAGGUCUGCGGUCUAUCAGGUUGUAGUGGGUGUAACGUACCUACUAGCCGACGACGGAUACGGGUUGUGAGAGCAAGAGCCCGGAGAUGGAUUCUGAGACAAGAAUCCAGGCCCUACGGGGUGCAGCAGGCGCGAACACUUUACAAUGCGGGAAACCGCGAUAAGGGAACCCCGAGUGCCAGUACUAAGUGCUGGCUGUCUAGAUGAAUAGAUAUCAUUUAAUAGCAAGGGCCGGGCAAGACCGGUGCCAGCCGCCGCGGUAACACCGGCGGCCCGAGUGGUAACCGAUAUUAUUGGGUCUAAAGGGUCCGUAGCCUGUUUAAUAAGUCCUUUGGGAAAUCUGGCAGCUUAACUGUCAGGCUGCUAAAGGAUACUGUUAAACUUGGGACCGGUAGACGUAGGGGGUACUCCAGGGGUAGGAGUGAAAUCUUGUAAUCCCUGGGGGACCAUCUGUGGCGAAGGCGCCCUACGAGAACGGGUCCGACGGUGAGGGACGAAAGCUAGGGGAGCAAACCGGAUUAGAUACCCGGGUAGUCCUAGCUGUAAACGAUGCUCGCUAGGUGUCAGGCACGGUGCGUCCGUGUCUGGUGCCGCAGGGAAGCCGUUAAGCGAGCCACCUGGGGAGUACGGUCGCAAGGCUGAAACUUAAAGGAAUUGGCGGGGGAGCACUACAACGGGUGGAGCCUGCGGUUUAAUUGGAUUCAACGCCGGA